AAAACAUUUUUAAUAGACAUUAUUAUUAAUAAAAUCUGCUCAAUGAAUUUUCAAUAGUCGCGUAUUACGUGCAAAGGUAGCAUAAUCACUUGUCUUUUAAUUAAAGUCUAGAAUGAAAGAUAAAACAUUUAAUUUAAUUUUUUAAUAAAGACUAAAAAUUUAUCUCAAAUGUAAAAAGACAUUUUUCUCAAAAAUAGACGACAAGACCCUAUCGAACUUUCACUUCAGUUUCACUGGGGAAGUAAAUUAAAAAUAAUUUUAAUUAACUCUCUUUCUAAAACAUCUAAUAAAAUUAAGUAAAACAAGUUACCGUAGGGAUAACAGCGUAAUAUUAUAUUAUAGAUCUUAUACAAUAAACUGUUUACGACCUCGAUGUUGAAUUAAUAAUCUUCUAAAUGCAAUAAUAUAGUAAAGAAAGUCCGUUCGACUUAUAAACAAUUAC
Molecule: ribosomal RNA, 442 nt
Filed under: Neostasina sp. Costa_Rica_00006415A
Lineage: Eukaryota; Metazoa; Arthropoda; Arachnida; Araneae; Sparassidae
Description: partial 16S ribosomal RNA
Source: RNAcentral